Molecule: long non-coding RNA, 843 nt
Organism: Bos taurus (domestic cattle)
Lineage: Eukaryota; Metazoa; Chordata; Mammalia; Artiodactyla; Bovidae
Source: Ensembl
CAUAGGUGGAGCUGGGUCUUGGCCACAGGCCCUCUCUAGGGGCGUGUCCGGAGGCGGCAUGUCCUAGUCUAUAGACAGCCUGUGUCCUGAUGGGUGGGGCUGUGUCCCCUCCCAGCUAGGUGUUUGUCCUGAGGCAUCCCAGCAAGCUUCCCAGGUGGCUCAGUGGUGAAGAACCCACCUGCCAGUGCAGGAGACACAGCUUCGAUUCCUGGGUCAGGAAGAUCCCCCGGAGGAGGGCAUGGCAGCCCACUCCAGUAUUCUUGCCUGGAGAAUCCCGUGGACAGAGGAGCCUGGUGGGGUUCGGUCAGUCCACGGGUUGCAAAGAGUUGCACAGGACCUAGCAAGUGAGCACGCUCGCACGCCUUCCUGUGCCGGAGCUCACGCGUCAGAGCUCGCAGGCUGUUGGUGGAGCCGGAUCUUGAUGCUAAUGAGGCAAUCGCUCAGCGGCCGGGACUGUUUACAGUGAAUCUUCCUCGGUAUGUCCACUCCCGCGUCUCCGUCCCCAGGGUGAGCAGCAGCAGCAGGCGUUCCUCCUCACCCCUCCGCCGUCCCCACCUUCCCAGGAGACGCCCCAAGACCAGCAGCAAAAUCUUGCAGUGUGCUUCCCUGAUACUGCAUCACAUUUGGAAGAUUUUCAGUUACAGAAUUGGAUGAAAACAGGACUUUCUGAGUAACUACUAAGCUAUUUGGAAAAUGUAAUCAAUACCGAUGGGCUUCCCAGGUGGCGCUAGUGGUAAAGAACCCCCCUGCCAUUGCAGGAGACAUAAGAGACGUGGGUUCCAUCCCUGGUCGGGAAGAUCCCUUGGAGGAAGACAUGGCAACCCACUCCAGUAUUGCCUGGAG